AGCUGUACAAUACAGAAGAAAUUGAACAUAAUGUGUGAAUAUUCUCUCUCCCCCCCGCUCCUUACUGUACUGCAGGGACCCUGGAGAAGGAUAAAUUAUAUACAUAGAAUCCUGAUUGUAAACCGGUAUAUGUACAGUGUAUACUGUACAACAAUAAAACUGAUUCAAAUACUUCAGUUUGCACUAAACCUGCGCUGCAACUCUUACAUCAGAAUUAAUAUUCAGAAUCGCUGGUAGAGGUAGAGUGGGCGUUCCUCUCUCCCCCUCCUCCCCCCUUCAUACUUCGUCUCUCUGCGUCCUGAGAGCUCGGAGUAUAGAAGCAUUAGAGAUGUCAACCUGCACAACCUCCUUGGAAAGGUCGUUAUCAUUUAUUUCUGUCUUCUUAUCUUGAAAUAAAUGAUUUGUAUAACUUUA
Molecule: long non-coding RNA, 414 nt
Filed under: Eurytemora carolleeae
Lineage: Eukaryota; Metazoa; Arthropoda; Copepoda; Calanoida; Temoridae
Description: uncharacterized LOC111706844
Source: RNAcentral